GACGAACGCUGGCGGCGUGCCUAAUACAUGCAAGUCGAGCGAACGGACGCGAAGCUUGCUUCUCUGAUGUUAGCGGCGGACGGGUGAGUAACACGUGUAUACUCCACCUAUAAGACUGGGAUAUCUUCGGGAAUCCGGAUCUAACACCGGAUAAGCUUCUGAACCGUAUGGUUCAAAGGUGAAAUACGGUCUUGCUGUCUCUUAUCGCUGCUUCUCCGCUGCAUUCGCUAGUUGUUACGGUAACGGCCUACGAAGGCAACGAUGCAUAGACGACCUGAGAGGGUGAUCGGCCACACUGGAACUGAGACACGGUCCAGACUCCUACGAGAGGCAGCAGUAGGGAAUCGGCCGCAAUGGGCGAAAGCCUGACGGAGCAACACCGCGUGAGUGAUGAAGGUCUUCGGAUCGUAAAACUCUGUUAUUAGGGAAGAACAUAUGUGUAAGUAACUGUGCACAUCUUGACGGUACCUAAUCAGAAAGCCACGGCUAACUACGUG
Molecule: ribosomal RNA, 497 nt
Filed under: uncultured bacterium
Lineage: Bacteria
Description: partial 16S ribosomal RNA
Rfam family: Bacterial small subunit ribosomal RNA
Source: RNAcentral